RNAcentral lists this unclassified non-coding RNA (430 nucleotides) under uncultured fungus. RNAcentral describes it as "partial contains small subunit ribosomal RNA, internal transcribed spacer 1, and 5.8S ribosomal RNA". The stretch from base 1 to 73 matches the Rfam family "Eukaryotic small subunit ribosomal RNA", at positions 1759 to 1831 of the family's 1831-position model. Lineage: Eukaryota; Fungi. The record is from RNAcentral.
CCAAACUUGGUCAUUUAGAGGAAGUAAAAGUCGUAACAAGGUUUCCGUAGGUGAACCUGCGGAAGGAUCAUUAACAAAUCCGUGUGGGGUGUUAUGGCCCCGACACUCGUUCCGCGUCCGCGUGCAUUUGCGCGGCGCGUCACAUUUAUCUAUCUAUGCUGACUGAUCGCGCAAACACAACAACUUUUAACAAUGGAUCUCUAGACUCCUUCAUUUAGAGGAAGUAAAAGUCGUAACAAGGUUUCCGUAGGUGAACCUGCGGAAGGAUCAUUAACAAAUCCGUGUGGGGUGUUAUGGCCCCGACACUCGUUCCGCGUCCGCGUGCAUUUGCGCGGCGCGUCACAUUUAUCUAUCUAUGCUGACUGAUCGCGCAAACACAACAACUUUUAACAAUGGAUCUCUAGGCUCCUGCAUCGAUGAAGAACGCAGC